This 409-nucleotide ribosomal RNA is filed under the name Bacillota bacterium. Its description in RNAcentral is "Firmicutes bacterium partial 16S ribosomal RNA". It matches the Rfam family "Bacterial small subunit ribosomal RNA", at positions 355 to 776 of the family's 1533-position model. The record is from RNAcentral. Lineage: Bacteria; Bacillati; Bacillota.
UGGGGAAUAUUGCACAAUGGGCGAAAGCCUGACGCAGCGACGCCGCGUGAGGGAUGACGGCCUUCGGGUUGUAAACCUGUUUCAGCAGGGACGAAGCGCAAGGGACGGUACCCGCAGUAGAAGCAUCGCCUAACUACGUCCCAGCAGCCGCCGCAAUACGUAGGGUGCAAGUGUUGUCCGGAAUUACUGGGCGUAAAGAGUUCGUAGGCGGUUUGUCGCGUCGUUUGUGAAAACCGUCGGCUGAACUGCUGGAUCGCAGGCGAUACUGGCAGACUUGAGUACUGCAGGGGAGACUGGAAUGCCUGGUGUAGCGGUGAGAUGCGCAGAUAUCAGGAGGAACACCGGUGGCGAAGGCGGGUCGCUGGACAGUAACUGACGCUGAGGCACGAAAGCGUGGGUAGCGAACAGG